UCCCCGAUGGUGUAAUCGGUAGCACGCGGGACUUUGAAUCCCUCAGUCCAGGUUCGAAUCCUGAUCGGGGAACCA
This 75-nucleotide transfer RNA is filed under the name Planctomycetota bacterium. Its description in RNAcentral is "Planctomycetes bacterium (bioreactor metagenome) tRNA-Gln". It matches the Rfam family "tRNA". From Rfam's summary of the family: Transfer RNA (tRNA) molecules are approximately 80 nucleotides in length. Their secondary structure includes four short double-helical elements and three loops (D, anti-codon, and T loops). Lineage: Bacteria; Pseudomonadati; Planctomycetota. The record is from RNAcentral.